GAUGAACGCUGGCGGCGUGCCUAAUACAUGCCAGUCGAGCGAACAGACGAGGAGCUUGCUCCUCUGACGUUAGCGGCGGACGGGUGAGUAACACGUGGAUAACCUACCUAUAAGACUGGGAUAACUUCGGGAAACCGGAGCUAAUACCGGAUAAUAUAUUGAACCGCAUGGUUCAAUAGUGAAAGACGGUUUUGCUGUCACUUAUAGAUGGAUCCGCGCCGCAUUAGCUAGUUGGUAAGGUAACGGCUUACCAAGGCAACGAUGCGUAGCCGACCUGAGAGGGGGGUCGGCCACACUGGAACUGAGACACGGUCCAGACUCCUACGGGAGGCAGCAGUAGGGAAUCUUCCGCAAUGGGCGAAAGCCUGACGGAGCAACGCCGCGUGAGUGAUGAAGGUCUUCGGAUCGUAAAACUCUGUUAUUAGGGAAGAACAAAUGUGUAAGUAACUAUGCACGUCUUGACGGUACCUAAUCAGAAAGCCACGGCUAACUACGUG
RNAcentral lists this ribosomal RNA (497 nucleotides) under uncultured bacterium. RNAcentral's name for it is "partial 16S ribosomal RNA". It matches the Rfam family "Bacterial small subunit ribosomal RNA", at positions 28 to 507 of the family's 1533-position model. The record is from RNAcentral.